AUUGAACGCUGGCGGCAGGCCUAACACAUGCAAGUCGAGCGGAUGAAGGGAGCUUGCUCCUGGAUUCAGCGGCGGACGGGUGAGUAAUGCCUAGGAAUCUGCCUGGUAGUGGGGGAUAACGUCCGGAAACGGGCGCUAAUACCGCAUACGUCCUGAGGGAGAAAGUGGGGGAUCUUCGGACCUCACGCUAUCAGAUGAGCCUAGGUCGGAUUAGCUAGUUGGUGGGGUAAAGGCCUACCAAGGCGACGAUCCGUAACUGGUCUGAGAGGAUGAUCAGUCACACUGGAACUGAGACACGGUCCAGACUCCUACGGGAGGCAGCAGUGGGGAAUAUUGGACAAUGGGCGAAAGCCUGAUCCAGCCAUGCCGCGUGUGUGAGGAAGGUCUUCGGAUUGAAAAGCACUUUAAGUUGGGAGGAAGGGCAGUAAGUUAAUACCUUGCUGUUUUGACGUUACCAACAGAAUAACCACCGGCUAACUUCGUG
RNAcentral lists this ribosomal RNA (484 nucleotides) under uncultured bacterium. Its description in RNAcentral is "partial 16S ribosomal RNA". It matches the Rfam family "Bacterial small subunit ribosomal RNA", at positions 30 to 507 of the family's 1533-position model. The record is from RNAcentral.